RNAcentral lists this ribosomal RNA (355 nucleotides) under Shigella flexneri. RNAcentral describes it as "bacterial SSU rRNA". It matches the Rfam family "Bacterial small subunit ribosomal RNA", at positions 660 to 1014 of the family's 1533-position model. The record is from RNAcentral. Lineage: Bacteria; Pseudomonadati; Pseudomonadota; Gammaproteobacteria; Enterobacterales; Enterobacteriaceae.
GGUAGAAUUCCAGGUGUAGCGGUGAAAUGCGUAGAGAUCUGGAGGAAUACCGGUGGCGAAGGCGGCCCCCUGGACGAAGACUGACGCUCAGGUGCGAAAGCGUGGGGAGCAAACAGGAUUAGAUACCCUGGUAGUCCACGCCGUAAACGAUGUCGACUUGGAGGUUGUGCCCUUGAGGCGUGGCUUCCGGAGCUAACGCGUUAAGUCGACCGCCUGGGGAGUACGGCCGCAAGGUUAAAACUCAAAUGAAUUGACGGGGGCCCGCACAAGCGGUGGAGCAUGUGGUUUAAUUCGAUGCAACGCGAAGAACCUUACCUGGUCUUGACAUCCACGGAAGUUUUCAGAGAUGAGAAUG